GCCUAACAUGUUCUAUUUAAGACGAGCAGAUAAAUCUGCUGGAUUGUUAGUUUAUUAUAGCUCCAAUAAUCUUUGUUUGUAUGAUAUUUUUUUGGUAGUUACUUUAAUACUUUUGGCAAUUGUAUGGUAUUCGUGUUAAUCACACCAGCUGAAUGUUUACAUGGUUUGACAGAUUGCCUGAGUUCCCCUGCAAGCAGCUCCUUUACCAGCUCCAGUGGGGAUAUUGAAGGGGACUCUGAUGACACCGUAAUAUUGCAGUGCAGUCCUGCCACAAGACAGAGAGCUGAAAACACCUCUCUUGCCAAAAUGAUUGAAGAUGUUCUAAAGAACAAACCUGGCGGAGAGAGGAUCAUCAAUGAGUAUGCUCAGACAAAAAGUCUUAACAGAUGGCAGGCGGAGCGACAUGGUCAAGAUAUUGGUUGCACAAAUAAGUGAACAUGGGACAAGUCCUUCAAGGCGUGUCAAAGAGGACCACGCAAAGGGGAUCAUCAACUUGUUCCCAUACCUGGCUGAUCCAAGGAGCAAGUUUGGUUAUAAGAUGGGAGUGGGUAUCUGGCUUG
Long non-coding RNA from Pseudoliparis swirei, 560 nucleotides. RefSeq lists it as uncharacterized. The transcript is spliced from 4 exons. Lineage: Eukaryota; Metazoa; Chordata; Actinopteri; Perciformes; Liparidae. The record is from RefSeq and is a predicted model, not a curated record.